Molecule: ribosomal RNA, 1402 nt
Filed under: uncultured prokaryote
Description: partial 16S ribosomal RNA
Rfam family: Bacterial small subunit ribosomal RNA
Source: RNAcentral
AGAGUUUGAUCCUGGCUCAGGACGAACGCUGGCGGCGUGCUUAACACAUGCAAGUUGCACGGUACCCGAUGAAUAGCUUGCUAUGAAGCGGGUAUAGUGGCGGACGGGUGAGUAACGCGUGAGGAUCUGUCGUAGGGAGGGGGACAACGUUUGGAAAUUUGGAUUAAUACCGGAUACGCCCUACGGGGGAAAGUGGAGGACCUUCGGGCUUCACGCUAUUAGAUGGGCCUGCGUAAGAUUAGCUAGUUGGUGAGGUAAUGGCUCACCAAGGCAACGAUCUUUAGCUGGUUUGAGAGGAUGAUCAGCCACACUGGGACUGCGCCACGGCCCAGACUCCUACGGGAGGCAGCAGUGGGGAAUAUUGCACAAUGGGCGCAAGCCUGAUGCAGCCAUACCGCGUGUGUGAAGAAGGCUCUAGGGUUGUAAAGCACUUUCAGUAGGGAGGAAAGGUUAUAGUUUAAUACGCUAUAGCUGUGACGUUACCUACAGAAGAAGGACCGGCUAACUCCGUGCCAGCAGCCGCGGUAAUACGGAGGGUCCGAGCGUUAAUCGGAAUUACUGGGCGUAAAGCGUACGCAGGCGGUUUGUUAAGCGAGAUGGGAAAGCCCCGGGCUCAACCUGGGAACUGCAUUUCGAACUGAUAAACUAGAGUUUUGUAGAGGGUGGUAGAAUUUCAGGUGUAGCGGCGAAAUGCCUAGAGAUCUGAAGGAAUACCAGUGGCGAAGGCGGCCACCUGGACAAUAACUGACGCUCAUGUACGAAAGCGUGGGGAGCAAACGGGAUUAGAUACCCCGGUAGUCCACGCCGUAAACGAUGUCUACUCGGAGUUUGGUUCCUUGAGAACUGGGCUCUUAAGCUAACGCAUUAAGUAGACCGCCUGGGGAGUACGGCCGCAAGGUUAAAACUCAAAUGAAUUGACGGGGGCCCGCACAAGCGGUGGAGCAUGUGGUUUAAUUCGAUGCAACGCGAAGAACCUUACCUACUCUUGACAUCCUCAGAAGAGCCCAGAGAUGGGCUUGUGCCUUCGGGAACUGAGAGACAGGUGCUGCAUGGCUGUCGUCAGCUCGUGUUGUGAAAUGUUGGGUUAAGUCCCGCAACGAGCGCAACCCCUAUCCUUAUUUGCCAGCGCGUAAUGGUGGGAACUCUAAGGAGACUGCCGGUGAUAAACCGGAGGAAGGUGGGGACGACGUCAAGUCAUCAUGGCCCUUACGACCUCGGCUACACACGUGCUACAAUGGCAAGUACAGAGGGCAGCAAUACCGCGAGGUGGAGCGAAUCCCACAAAGCUUGUCGUAGUCCGGAUCGGAGUCUGCAACUCGACUCCGUGAAGUCGGAAUCGCUAGUAAUCGUGGAUCAGAAUGCCACGGUGAAUACGUUCCCGGGCCUUGUCCACACCGCCCGU